Molecule: ribosomal RNA, 439 nt
Filed under: uncultured bacterium
Lineage: Bacteria
Description: partial 16S ribosomal RNA
Rfam family: Bacterial small subunit ribosomal RNA
Source: RNAcentral
CUACGGGCCGCUCCAGUGGGGAAUAUUGCACAAUGGAGGGAACUCUGAUGCAGCAACGCCGCGUGGAGGAUGACGCAUUUCGGUGUGUAAACUCCUUUUAUAUAGGAAGAUAAUGACGGUACUAUAUGAAUAAGCACCGGCUAACUCCGUGCCAGCAGCCGCGGUAAUACGGAGGGUGCAAGCGUUACUCGGAAUCACUGGGCGUAAAGCGCAUGCAGGCGGUUAAAUAAGUUGGAAGUGAAAUCCUAUGGCUCAACCAUAGAACUGCUUCCAAAACUGUUUAACUAGAGUCUGGGAGGGGAAGAUGGAAUUAGUAGUGUAGGGGUAAAAUCCGUAGAGAUUACUAGGAAUACCAAAAGCGAAGGCGAUCUUCUGGAACAGUACUGACGCUGAGAUGCGAAAGCGUGGGGAGCAAACAGGAUUAGAUACCCCUGUAGUC